UUUGCCUUACUUAAACCAAACCCAUCAAUCAAACCCGAUUCUCCAGCCAGUGGUUUUAUUCAUAGCUGUAUUUUUAAAGCAGCUUUGACCCUUUUUCACUGGAACAGUAACCUAGUCACCAUGUGUCGAAGUUACGCCUAUUUCACUUCCUUUCUGCUUUAUUUCUGUCCCUCAGUGUUUGUGAGCAGAACAAUAAACCAUAUGAUGCUGCUCUGAUAAGAGGAAACACUGAGUCAGUGACGAGAAAUAGUGUUUUUAACUGUUGCUGCGCUGCAGAAGAGCUCACAUCAACAUGGAGCUGGAACCUAGUAGUUGUUUUUCUUGGAUUUGACCCGUCAACCCCACAGAAGGGGCCGAACAGUUUUUCAUCUAUGGCCAAUCUGGCAAGAAAUAACAAAAUCCUUCUGGAACUUGUACAACGGCCGGGGAACAACGUGUGUGCCGACUGUUCAGCUCCUGAGCCGGACUGGGCAUCGUACACUCUGGGCGUCUUUGUGUGCCUGAACUGUUCUGGCAUGCACCGAAAUUUACCCUCUGUCAGCAAAGUCAAAUCCAUACGGCUGGAUUACUGGGACAGCUCUCUGGUGGAGUUCAUGCAAAAGAGAGGCAAUUCCGAAGCCAAAGCCAUUUUUGAGAAGUGUGUCCCAACUUUUUUUUACAAGCCGCGACAAAACGACUGCAUUGUUCUGAAGGAUCAAUGGAUCCGUGCGAAGUAUGAAAGAAGGGAAUUCACCGGAGAAAACAACAGGUUUCUGCAAAUUUACACUUCUGAACAGUUUGAAUCCCCUAUGUGGAAGAAAGGCAGAGUCAACAAGCAGUUCCUCAAAAGGAACUUUCUGCUGUCUCAGCGAGAUUUCACCCUUAAGUACUUCAUCAAAGAAGAUUCCAAGGUUCCCAAAGCCGUCAUCAGCAUGAAGGAUCUGAACGCAGAUUUCCAGCCAGAGAAGAUCGGACACCCUCACGGUCUGCAGAUUUCCUACUCGGAGGAUGACCACACGAGGAAUCUCUUUGUUUAUCACGAUGAUGGGCAGACAGUUGUUACUUUCUUUAAUGCUAUUCGGGCGACGCGCUUGGCCUACCUCCUGAGGAAACACCAGACACUUCGAAACAGCGAUGUGAGACCAACUUCAAAAAAGAAAAUUGGUGCCUCAGUUAACGUCAAAAAGUCUGAAGGAGGGCUACAUGGAGAAGACGGGCCCAACAGUACGUUCAGUCCUAUGAAUCAAUCAUUUACCUUCAAACAUCACCUAACUUUGUUGGAUUUUUGUGUGUUUUUAGACACGGGAGUCUUUCAAGAAGAGAUGGUUCACUCUGAACUUGACGAACAGAAAACUUCUGUAUUUGAAAUCUCCACUGGUAAUGAAAGGGGAACAAAGGGAAAACCUUAUUUGACGCUUCACAAAGAAACCAGUGCCGUUUGUCAGAAAUCCUGUACGGUGGGGCGUGAACUCAAAGUCACACUUCUGCUCUUCUGCUUGUCAGGAUGCCACAGAGAAGGGCUUUGCCUUCAUCGGCUCAGAGAGCCAUGGAUACUCUGUGUCAGCGUGCAGCGGUCAGUCCAAAAGAGGAGGCCGGUGGCGCUGGGGGAUCUUUCUGAAGACUCCUGAUAGGGAGUAUGUCUUCAUGUGUGAGCAGGAAUCUGAGCAGAAGGAGUGGAUAGAGGCUUUUAGAAAGAUCAUCAGUCAACCCAUGACUCCAGAGGACUAUGCCAAUGAAGCCAAUUUAAGGCGAGGAAAAUAACUGGGAUGUUAUGACCAUGCUGUACUCAACAAGACACGGCAGACGUUACAAAGAAGGCUCCUUCUUAGCAGGAUCUUUGCACAUCUGCAGGCAGAAUAUCCCACAUUGAUACUACUAAUGCUUUAUCGGUGUCAGGAGGACAACUCUUAAAAGCCUUGCUGUGCAAAAACAUUAUGUAUAAAGUGACAUUUAUUUAUUUAAUUUUACAUUUAAAAUUGAUUAUUAAUUUUCAUUAUUUGUGUUUUUGGGUUAUUAUAGUUUGCACAUUUUCACAAGACAAUGUACUUUCACACUUUAUUGCUUUAGUAUCUGUUACUUUAUAAGAACUUAUACCUAAUAAAGAAACUAACAAAUUACCUGAAAAUAA
Oryzias latipes (Japanese medaka) is the source of this 2107-nucleotide RNA transcript. It is a transcript of the gene named arf-GAP with dual PH domain-containing protein 2, with no coding region annotated. Lineage: Eukaryota; Metazoa; Chordata; Actinopteri; Beloniformes; Adrianichthyidae. The record is from RefSeq and is a predicted model, not a curated record.